CAUUUGAUCAGCUUAUGAACUAAAUGCAUGUUAACACUUAAAUUGAGUAUAAACAUGAGAGUCGAAUUGCAGGAAGACCAGUCUAAAGAAGUGUUUUCGAAACAACUGCUCGAUAUUGGUAAUGGUAAUAUUGCUGUUGAUACAUCAUCGGGGUAGAUGGUUUUCCCAAACAUAGCUCAAAAUUACGUAAAUCACGAUGGUUAAGCGAACGUGUUAUAUUGGCCGCAAAGAAUGUUGAUGUGAACGAAAUGAAUUUUCAGAUUCAAGAGAAAAUAGCUGGCGAAUUGAAGAAUUACAAAUCAGUUGAUUCCGUUACUAAUGAUGAUGAUGUUGUCAAUUAUCCAACAGAAUUUUUUAAUUCGCUGGAAUUACCCGGCUUACCACCUCAUAAUCUGCAAGUAAAAAUCAAUUUAGUAAUUACUAUGUUACGGAACAUAAACCAGUCACGUCUGUGUAAUGGCACCCGGCUUGCGGUGAAGAAAUUAUUGAACAAUGUCAUCGAAGCAACAUUUUUAAAAGGGAAGUACAAAGGCGAAGAUGUUUUAAUCCCACGCAUCCCUAUGAUACCGAACGACAUGCCAUUCAGCUUUAAGCGUUUACAGUUUCCAGUGCGGCUUGCAUUUGCAAUGUCAAUAAAAAAAUCGCAAGGGCAGUCGCUAAGUAUGAUACAAAUCUGGUUGGCGAUGAUACAUAUGAAAUACCCGGAACUUCUCUUACGGUUGGAUCUCUCGUUGAAGUAGCUGAUUCCGAACUAUCUGAUGAGCUAAAUGGUGUCAUUCGAUGGAUUGGAUUACCUUCCCAAUCAUCUAAUAACUUACUCAUAGGAAUUGAACUUGAAGAUGACGUAGUAAAUUUGAAACAUCUUUCAACCUUCAAUUGAAGCUAUAAUGGGAUUCGAUGAUACAAAUCUGGUUGGCGAUGAUACAUAUGAAAUACCCGGAACUUCUCUUACGGUUGGAUCUCUCGUUGAAGUAGCUGAUUCCGAACUAUCUGAUGAGCUAUAUGGUGUCAUUCGAUGGAUUGGAUUACCUUCCCAAUCAUCUAAUAACUUACUCAUAGGAAUUGAACUUGAAGAUGACGUAGUAAAUUUGAAACAUCUUUCAACCUUCAAUUGAAGCUAUAAUGGGAUUCGAUGAUACAAAUCUGGUUGGCGAUGAUACAUAUGAAAUACCCGGAACUUCUCUUACGGUUGGAUCUCUCGUUGAAGUAGCUGAUUCCGAACUAUCUGAUGAGCUAUAUGGUGUCAUUCGAUGGAUUGGAUUACCUUCCCAAUCAUCUAAUAACUUACUGAUAGGAAUUGAACUUGAAGAUGACGUAGUAAAUUUGAAACAUCUUUCAACCUUCAAUUGAAGCUAUAAUGGGAUUCGGUAAAUUAAUAAUUAAUUUGUGAAACAUGUAGUACCAAAUUUAAUUAGACCGUGAAAAAUAAAUUGUUUAACUUUUUACUUAACUCUAA
This is a long non-coding RNA of Drosophila willistoni, 1456 nucleotides long. RefSeq lists it as uncharacterized. The record is from RefSeq and is a predicted model, not a curated record. The transcript is spliced from 4 exons. NCBI's taxonomy places the organism in Eukaryota, Metazoa, Arthropoda, Insecta, Diptera, Drosophilidae.